This 406-nucleotide ribosomal RNA is filed under the name uncultured bacterium. RNAcentral describes it as "partial 16S ribosomal RNA". It matches the Rfam family "Bacterial small subunit ribosomal RNA", at positions 30 to 526 of the family's 1533-position model. The record is from RNAcentral.
AUUGAACGCUGGCGGCAGGCCUAACACAUGCAAGUCGAACGAGUGGCGGACGGGUGAGUAAUGUCUGGGAAACUGCCUGAUGGAGGGGGAUAACUACUGGAAACGGUAGCUAAUACCGCAUACCAUCAGAUGUGCCCAGAUGGGAUUAGCUAGUAGGUGGGGUAACGGCUCACCUAGGCGACGAACCCUAGCUGGUCUGAGAGGAUGACCAGCCACACUGGACCUGAGACACGGUCCAGACUCCUGCGGGAGGCAGCAGGGGGGAAUAUUGAACAAUGGGCGCAAGCCUGAUGCAGCCAGGCCGAGUGUAUGAAGAAGGCCUUCGGGUUGUAAAGUACUUUCAGCGGGGAUGCGUUACCCGCAGAAGAAGCGCCGGCUAACUCCGUGCCAGCCGCCGCGGUAAUAC